Molecule: ribosomal RNA, 2901 nt
Filed under: Escherichia coli
Lineage: Bacteria; Pseudomonadati; Pseudomonadota; Gammaproteobacteria; Enterobacterales; Enterobacteriaceae
Description: 23S ribosomal RNA
Rfam family: Bacterial large subunit ribosomal RNA
Source: RNAcentral
UUAAGCGACUAAGCGUACACGGUGGAUGCCCUUGCAGUCAGAGGCGAUGAAGGACGUGCUAAUCUGCGAUAAGCGUCGGUGAGGUGAUAUGAACCGUUAUAACCGGCGAUUUCCGAAUGGGGAAACCCAGUGUGUUUCGACACACUAUCAUUAACUGAAUCCAUAGGUUAAUGAGGCGAACCGGGGGAACUGAAACAUCUAAGUACCCCGAGGAAAAGAAAUCAACCGAGAUUCCCCCAGUAGCGGCGAGCGAACGGGGAGGAGCCCAGAGCCUGAAUCAGUGUGUGUGUUAGUGGAAGCGUCUGGAAAGGCGCGCGAUACAGGGUGACAGCCCCGUACACAAAAAUGCACAUAUUGUGAGCUCGAUGAGUAGGGCGGGACACGUGGUAUCCUGUCUGAAUAUGGGGGGACCAUCCUCCAAGGCUAAAUACUCCUGACUGACCGAUAGUGAACCAGUACCGUGAGGGAAAGGCGAAAAGAACCCCGGCGAGGGGAGUGAAAAAGAACCUGAAACCGUGUACGUACAAGCAGUGGGAGCCUCUUAAUGGGGUGACUGCGUACCUUUUGUAUAAUGGGUCAGCGACUUAUAUUCUGUAGCAAGGUUAACCGAAUAGGGGAGCCGAAGGGAAACCGAGUCUUAACUGGGCGUUAAGUUGCAGGGUAUAGACCCGAAACCCGGUGAUCUAGCCAUGGGCAGGUUGAAGGUUGGGUAACACUAACUGGAGGACCGAACCGACUAAUGUUGAAAAAUUAGCGGAUGACUUGUGGCUGGGGGUGAAAGGCCAAUCAAACCGGGAGAUAGCUGGUUCUCCCCGAAAGCUAUUUAGGUAGCGCCUCGUGAAUUCAUCUCCGGGGGUAGAGCACUGUUUCGGCAAGGGGGUCAUCCCGACUUACCAACCCGAUGCAAACUGCGAAUACCGGAGAAUGUUAUCACGGGAGACACACGGCGGGUGCUAACGUCCGUCGUGAAGAGGGAAACAACCCAGACCGCCAGCUAAGGUCCCAAAGUCAUGGUUAAGUGGGAAACGAUGUGGGAAGGCCCAGACAGCCAGGAUGUUGGCUUAGAAGCAGCCAUCAUUUAAAGAAAGCGUAAUAGCUCACUGGUCGAGUCGGCCUGCGCGGAAGAUGUAACGGGGCUAAACCAUGCACCGAAGCUGCGGCAGCGACACUAUGUGUUGUUGGGUAGGGGAGCGUUCUGUAAGCCUGUGAAGGUGGCCUGUGAGGGUUGCUGGAGGUAUCAGAAGUGCGAAUGCUGACAUAAGUAACGAUAAAGCGGGUGAAAAGCCCGCUCGCCGGAAGACCAAGGGUUCCUGUCCAACGUUAAUCGGGGCAGGGUGAGUCGACCCCUAAGGCGAGGCCGAAAGGCGUAGUCGAUGGGAAACAGGUUAAUAUUCCUGUACUUGGUGUUACUGCGAAGGGGGGACGGAGAAGGCUAUGUUGGCCGGGCGACGGUUGUCCCGGUUUAAGCGUGUAGGCUGGUUUUCCAGGCAAAUCCGGAAAAUCAAGGCUGAGGCGUGAUGACGAGGCACUACGGUGCUGAAGCGACAAAUGCCCUGCUUCCAGGAAAAGCCUCUAAGCAUCAGGUAACAUCAAAUCGUACCCCAAACCGACACAGGUGGUCAGGUAGAGAAUACCAAGGCGCUUGAGAGAACUCGGGUGAAGGAACUAGGCAAAAUGGUGCCGUAACUUCGGGAGAAGGCACGCUGAUAUGUAGGUGAAGCGACUUGCUCGUGGAGCUGAAAUCAGUCGAAGAUACCAGCUGGCUGCAACUGUUUAUUAAAAACACAGCACUGUGCAAACACGAAAGUGGACGUAUACGGUGUGACGCCUGCCCGGUGCCGGAAGGUUAAUUGAUGGGGUUAGCGGUAACGCGAAGCUCUUGAUCGAAGCCCCGGUAAACGGCGGCCGUAACUAUAACGGUCCUAAGGUAGCGAAAUUCCUUGUCGGGUAAGUUCCGACCUGCACGAAUGGCGUAAUGAUGGCCAGGCUGUCUCCACCCGAGACUCAGUGAAAUUGAACUCGCUGUGAAGAUGCAGUGUACCCGCGGCAAGACGGAAAGACCCCGUGAACCUUUACUAUAGCUUGACACUGAACAUUGAGCCUUGAUGUGUAGGAUAGGUGGGAGGCUUUGAAGUGUGGACGCCAGUCUGCAUGGAGCCGACCUUGAAAUACCACCCUUUAAUGUUUGAUGUUCUAACGUGGGCCCCUUACCGGGGUUGCGGACAGUGUCUGGUGGGUAGUUUGACUGGGGCGGUCUCCUCCUAAAGAGUAACGGAGGAGCACGAAGGUUGGCUAAUCUUGGUCGGACAUCAGGAGGUUAGUGCAAUGGCAUAAGCCAGCUUGACUGCGAGCGUGACGGCGCGAGCAGGUGCGAAAGCAGGUCAUAGUGAUCCGGUGGUUCUGAAUGGAAGGGCCAUCGCUCAACGGAUAAAAGGUACUCCGGGGAUAACAGGCUGAUACCGCCCAAGAGUUCAUAUCGACGGCGGUGUUUGGCACCUCGAUGUCGGCUCAUCACAUCCUGGGGCUGAAGUAGGUCCCAAGGGUAUGGCUGUUCGCCAUUUAAAGUGGUACGCGAGCUGGGUUUAGAACGUCGUGAGACAGUUCGGUCCCUAUCUGCCGUGGGCGCUGGAGAACUGAGGGGGGCUGCUCCUAGUACGAGAGGACCGGAGUGGACGCAUCACUGGUGUUCGGGUUGUCAUGCCAAUGGCACUGCCCGGUAGCUAAAUGCGGAAGAGAUAAGUGCUGAAAGCAUCUAAGCACGAAACUUGCCCCGAGAUGAGUUCUCCCUGACUCCUUGAGAGUCCUGAAGGAACGUUGAAGACGACGACGUUGAUAGGCCGGGUGUGUAAGCGCAGCGAUGCGUUGAGCUAACCGGUACUAAUGAACCGUGAGGCUUAACCU